AGAUGUGAAGGCGAUCUAGCUGUGUCUUCUGUCACCUCGGUGGAUGGCCAGAAUUGAUUUGGCUUAUCUGGCUGGCUAGGCAGGUGACCUCUUCCUCCCUCACUUCUCCAUGUGUGUCCCUUCCAAAGUUGCACGCACUGUCGAAGAGGAUUAUGGAUCAUUCUUUGGUCAAGAGUACAUGAAUAGCUGUGCUCCUCUGCUAGAAUCUCCAAAUAAGAUCUCAAGAAAUUUAUAAUCUAUUUGGGAAGAUAAAAGACAAAUAUGUACAAAAAUAAAAUUCAAGAAGCUGAGGCAAAAGGAUUUGAAAUU
RNAcentral lists this small nuclear RNA (309 nucleotides) under Marmota marmota marmota (Alpine marmot). Its description in RNAcentral is "7SK RNA (ENSMMMG00000015219.1)". It matches the Rfam family "7SK RNA". From Rfam's summary of the family: 7SK was discovered as an abundant small nuclear RNA in the mid-70s but a possible function has only recently been suggested. The record is from Rfam by way of RNAcentral. Lineage: Eukaryota; Metazoa; Chordata; Mammalia; Rodentia; Sciuridae.